RNAcentral lists this long non-coding RNA (711 nucleotides) under Phoenix dactylifera (date palm). RNAcentral's name for it is "long non-coding RNA (PDAC_LNC019140)". Lineage: Eukaryota; Viridiplantae; Streptophyta; Magnoliopsida; Arecales; Arecaceae. The record is from RNAcentral.
GUUGUUUUAUCGUCUAUAUUGUUCAUUGGCUUUUCUUUAUAGUUUGUUUUGGUGAAAUCUCCAUGCAUGUUGCAUUACAAUGUUCAUAUUUUUCCGAUUUGGGGCCUGACCUUUUCUAUAUUCUUGAUAUUUGUCCUUUCGGGGUGCUCAUUUUUUCUUUACUGCAAAUAUUUCAUCUUUUGUCGCGCUUUUUUUUUCCUUCUUGCUUCCUAUUUUCUAUCAUGGGAUUCUUUUGCUAAACUCUAUUACCAUUUCCCGUAUCUGGUCUUUUUAGUUUCUUGAUAUUUCUCACUCUUUUUUUAUCUUCUUAAAGCUUUUUUGCACCUUCUCUUUUACGGCAGAAGAUUUCAUUUUUCUCAAUGCCUAUCUCAGGUGGUAUAACUUACUUUUUGUUCCUUUGAUAAGAUUUCCUUUUCUUCAUAUAUCCGACUCGAGGGAUCAACUUUUCUUCUUUUUAAUUUGCUGCCUUUUAACUUUUCUUUACUUGUUUCUGUAAAUGCUUUCAUUCCUCUCAGUGCAUGUUCUGUAUUUGGUGUUAUUCAGAGAUUUUUGAUUCAAAUUUCUUUGGUUUCAAUGUUUUUAACUUCUUGUUUUUACAUAUUUCUAUAUUGGCCACUCAUUUAUUGGCACUGCUUGAGAAGUUACAAUUUGUCUAAAAGAAGAAAGUAGAAGUAAGCAUCCAAAAUCCUCACAAGACAAUUAAUAAGCAGC